UACGUAGGGUGCGAGCGUUAAUCGGAAUUACUGGGCGUAAAGCGUGCGCAGGCGGUGAUGUAAGACAGAUGUGAAAUCCCCGGGCUCAACCUGGGAACUGCAUUUGUGACUGCAAAGCUAGAGUGCGGCAGAGGGGGAUGGAAUUCCGCGUGUAGCAGUGAAAUGCGUAGAUAUGCGGAGGAACACCGAUGGCGAAGGCAAUCCCCUGGGCCUGCACUGACGCUCAUGCACGAAAGCGUGGGGAGCAAACAGG
RNAcentral lists this ribosomal RNA (253 nucleotides) under uncultured bacterium. Its description in RNAcentral is "partial 16S ribosomal RNA". It matches the Rfam family "Bacterial small subunit ribosomal RNA", at positions 524 to 776 of the family's 1533-position model. The record is from RNAcentral.